RNAcentral lists this small RNA (858 nucleotides) under Pan troglodytes (chimpanzee). RNAcentral describes it as "retained intron". Lineage: Eukaryota; Metazoa; Chordata; Mammalia; Primates; Hominidae. The record is from RNAcentral.
AGCACAGAAAGAGGGUCCGUGGGGGACGGUAGAAGCCUGGAGGAGGAGCUUGAGUCCAGCCACUGUCUGGGUACUGCCAGCCAUCGGGCCCAGGUCUCUGGGGUUGUCUUACCGCAGUGAGUACCACGCGGUACUACAGAGACCGGCUGCCCGUGUGCCUGGCAGGUGGAGCCGUCCGCAUCAGCGGCCUCGGGGAAUGGAAGCGGAGAACGCGGGCAGAGGCUCCAAAAGGAAGAAAAAGAAAACCCAGAACAACAGAACCAAAACAACCAGUGGAACCCAAAAAACCUGUUGAGUCAAAAAAAUCUGGCAAGUCUGCAAGAUCAAAAGAAAAACAAGAAAAAAUUACAGACACAUUUAAAGUAAAAAGAAAAGUAGACCGUUUUAAUGGUGUUUCAGAAGCUGAACUUCUGACCAAGACUCUCCCUGAUAUUUUGACCUUCAAUCUGGACAUUGUCAUUGUAAGAUCUUUGUCCUCGUUGGAUUUUAUAAGUAGUAUUGGGGGAUCAGCUUUACUUAACAGUUGUCCUUGCAAAUAGCAUUUUGCUGAAAAGGACCAUUUCUAAGAAUCCUUUUGGUGGUAAAUGGUGUCACCUUCAUGAGGUUGUGUUAUAUGAGAGUGUUUAAGAGGGUGGGCUCCAAAUUUAGACUGGGUUCAAAUCCUGUCACAAGUAUAAUCUUGGAUAAGUCUUAUUAACCUUUCUAAACACCGGUUUUCUCAUUGAUAAACCAGGGGUGAUAAUACCACCCCCCGAUAGGGUUGCAAGUAAAUGAGAGAAUCCAUGUGAAUCACUUCAACUGAAUGAUACCUGUGGAGACUUGAUAAAUGGUAGCACUAAUUUUAAGCUCUUAUUUUUC